GCCAGGCGUGGUGGCACGUGCCUGUAGUCCCAGCUACACAGGUGGUUGAGGUGGGAGAAUCGCUGGAGUCCAGGAGUUCGGGGCUGCAGUGCGCUACGCUGAUCCGGUGUCCACACUAAAGUUCAACAUCAAUACGGUAACCUCCUGGGAGUGGGGACCACCAGGGUGCCUAAGGAGGGAUGAACUGGCCCAGGUCAGAAAUGGAGCAGGUCAAAACUCCCAUGCUGAUUAGAAAAUUGCAUUUUGAUACAGAGCAUGCAAGCAUACAUGUACAUACAUACAUAUUUUACUUCCA
Molecule: non-coding RNA, 295 nt
Organism: Fukomys damarensis (Damara mole-rat)
Lineage: Eukaryota; Metazoa; Chordata; Mammalia; Rodentia; Bathyergidae
Source: Rfam